This 702-nucleotide ribosomal RNA is filed under the name uncultured bacterium. RNAcentral's name for it is "bacterial SSU rRNA". It matches the Rfam family "Bacterial small subunit ribosomal RNA", at positions 62 to 759 of the family's 1533-position model. The record is from RNAcentral.
UCGAGCGGCAGCGCGGUCUUCGGACUGGCGGCGAGCGGCGAACGGGUGAGUAAUACAUCGGAACAUGCCCAGUCGUGGGGGAUAACACUUCGAAAGAAGUGCUAAUACCGCAUACGUCCUGAGGGAGAAAGCGGGGGAUCGCAAGACCUCGCGCGAUUGGAGUGGCCGAUGUCAGAUUAGCUAGUUGGUGGGGUAAAGGCCUACCAAGGCAACGAUCUGUAGCUGGUCUGAGAGGAUGAUCAGCCACACUGGGACUGAGACACGGCCCAGACUCCUACGGGAGGCAGCAGUGGGGAAUUUUGGACAAUGGGGGCAACCCUGAUCCAGCCAUUCCGCGUGAGUGAAGAAGGCCUUCGGGUUGUAAAGCUCUUUCGGCAGGAACGAAACGGCGAGCUCUAACAUAGCUCGCUAAUGACGGUACCUGAAGAAGAAGCACCGGCUAACUACGUGCCAGCAGCCGCGGUAAUACGUAGGGUGCGAGCGUUAAUCGGAAUUACUGGGCGUAAAGCGUGCGCAGGCGGUUGUGUAAGACAGGUGUGAAAUCCCCGGGCUUAACCUGGGAACUGCGCUUGUGACUGCACGGCUAGAGUAUGGCAGAGGGGGGUGGAAUUCCACGUGUAGCAGUGAAAUGCGUAGAGAUGUGGAGGAACACCGAUGGCGAAGGCAGCCCCCUGGGCCAAUACUGACGCUCAUGCACGAAAG